AUUGAACGCUGGCGGCAUGCCUUACACAUGCAAGUCGAACGGUAACAGGUCUUCGGAUGCUGACGAGUGGCGAACGGGUGAGUAAUACAUCGGAACGUGCCUAGUAGUGGGGGAUAACUACUCGAAAGAGUGGCUAAUACCGCAUGAGAUCUACGGAUGAAAGCAGGGGAUCGCAAGACCUUGUGCUACUAGAGCGGCCGAUGGCAGAUUAGGUAGUUGGUGGGAUAAAAGCUUACCAAGCCGACGAUCUGUAGCUGGUCUGAGAGGACGAUCAGCCACACUGGGACUGAGACACGGCCCAGACUCCUACGGGAGGCAGCAGUGGGGAAUUUUGGACAAUGGGCGCAAGCCUGAUCCAGCAAUGCCGCGUGCAGGAUGAAGGCCUUCGGGUUGCAAACUGCUUUUGUACGGAACGAAAAGCCCCGGGUUAAUACCCUGGGGUCAUGACGGUACCGUAAGAAUAAGCACCGGCUAACUACGUGCCAGCCGCCGCCGUAA
RNAcentral lists this ribosomal RNA (498 nucleotides) under uncultured bacterium. RNAcentral's name for it is "partial 16S ribosomal RNA". It matches the Rfam family "Bacterial small subunit ribosomal RNA", at positions 30 to 523 of the family's 1533-position model. The record is from RNAcentral.